Molecule: long non-coding RNA, 384 nt
Filed under: Coturnix japonica (Japanese quail)
Lineage: Eukaryota; Metazoa; Chordata; Aves; Galliformes; Phasianidae
Description: lncRNA (ENSCJPG00005014670.1)
Source: RNAcentral
AUGCAACAGAGAAAUGAAGAGAUGCGCUACUGCUGUCUUGAAAGCAUGGAGUGCUAUUCUGAUGCCACAGCUUCCAACACUAAGGGAAAGAACUAUGAGCUGGUUUUACAACAGCGGAACAUUGUCUGGCUGAAGCACUAUGACAGAAAGACUCUGGUUUGGUUGUUGGUCAAGUACAACAGAAGGAGAAGAGGGAGUUACAUCUACAUGGCUGAAUAAAGAAAAAGUACUGAUGAAUACUGGAGUAAGAAUUUCCCUUUUGUAAGAAAAUGCAAUUAUUUCCAUAAUAAUAAUCAUUAAAUGUAGAAAUACAAAGGCUGUAUUUUCUUUUAUGUAUUCCCAUUUGACAAAUAAAUAACUGACUGAUCUAAUAGCUGUACUGCA